RNAcentral lists this ribosomal RNA (339 nucleotides) under Aminicella lysinilytica. The record is from RNAcentral. Lineage: Bacteria; Bacillati; Bacillota; Clostridia; Peptostreptococcales; Anaerovoracaceae.
AGGCCGAAAGCUUGGCCGGAAAUGACUUCCGGGAAGAUUGUGGUCAUGAAGAUCAUGCGACAUUGUUCGGAUUUGAGGGUAUCUAAGAUACUCUUAGUAACGAAGCGAUUUCGCGUAAUGCGCGGCGUGCGACAGAGUGAGAAAGGAACGUACUUCUGGUACGUGACUGACGAACGAUGGAGCAACAACAAUGCAGUACACGAAAUAAGCGAGUUAGCUGAAUCCGGUGGCUAUAGCGAAAAGGUUACACCUGUUCCCAUCCCGAACACAGAAGUUAAGCUUUUCCGCGCCGAUGAUACUUGGUGGGCGACUGCCUGGGAAAGUAGGUCGUUGCCGGUU